GUUGAAGAGAUGGUGAGAAAGAGAGUUGAAAAGAAGGCCAUGGUGUUCGGGCAGGACGUAGGCCUAAACGGUGAUGAUGAAAAGAAAGUAAAACGCAAGUUUGAUCCAUCAGUGGCUUCUCGCUCGUAUCAGAAGUGGAUAAUACCUCUCACCAAGGAGGUUCAGGUUGAGUACCUCUUGCGCCGUCUAGAUUGAGACCGUCUCAAUGCAAUUAGGAAGAAAAAAAGGAACAUGAUGUUCUGUUCAAAUGCAUAAGCUCUUAUGUGAUCCUAGAACACAGGAAUAUGAUAUCCUUGUUCAAAUGCAUAGGUUCUUAUUUAUUGCCAAUUCUUACAAGAAAGAAAUAUCAUGUCUUUGUUCAAAUGCAUAAGCUUUUAUGUGAUCCUUUUUUGCCAAUCUCUUAAGGUGUUUGGAAAAUUAAACUAAAAUGUCGUUAAUCACAUACUGUGCAAGUUUAAGAGGGUAGCUGCUGGCUUGGAAACUCGUGUAUGAACCCAAAUUUAAACAUGCAGUUAGAAGAAAGGAACAUGAUGUCCUUGUUCUAUUGCAUAGACUCUUAUGUAAUCACUAAUCAGUGAUUGCUAAUUUCUUAGAAGAAAGGAAUAUGAUAUCCUUGUUCAAAUUGAUAAGCGCUUAUGUCAUCCAUUAUUUAAUUUCAGUUACUUCUAAGUUUGAAGUAAGGAAUAUUUUUUGUUACAUCGGAAAGUUAAAUUGCAUUAGCCACGAAUCGAUCUCUGGACUUCCCCUGCCCAACCCAUAUGUCCCCAGCUCCUACCACCUGAGCUAUCCUACGGGGACUUAGAAGUAAGGAUUUUUUUUUGAACCAGAAGUAAGGAAUAUGAUGACAAAAUAACAUACUUUUUUUAUUUAAAAUCAAUUACCUACAUUGAAUAAUGUCAUUAAAUUCUACCAAAAAAAAGAUUAAACUUAAAAAGCUAAUUUGAAAUUUAAGCUAGAGUUUAUAUCAUUUGCAUGAGAUCAUAAGUUCAAAUUUACAAUUUUAUGCUUAAGUAAUUCAAACAUGUUUAAACAUAGUGUUUUUUAUGUCCUUUAAUGUAAUUUUAUAUGAAAAUAAAAGGACUUUUAUGAUUUUAUACUCAAACAGUUUAAAAUUAUUUUUUAAGUGAAAAGCAUUGAUUAUAUUUGUAAACAAACAUAGACAACUUUUGCUUUUAAAAAAAUCACUUUAAAUUAAAAUAGUUUUUUAUUCAAACGUAAAAUUACUUUUUUUAAGCAGAAACAAACAAGCCCUAAUUUUGAUAUUUUUUUUUUAAAUUGGAUUAUCAACUAACUUUUGGCGCUGUCUAAUGUUUGAUGAGCAAUAUGAUAAAUUAAUAUAUGGUUGGCUGAAUUAACUUACCCUUUCAACUCUUGUCUCUUCAUGCUAUAUAAUGCAUAUCCUAUGAUCCUUUCAUAGUUUCAUUAUAACAAUCAUAGUAAUCCUCAUAACCAUAAUUUUGUUGUUAUUGUUCUUUUGGGUUUGAUUGAUUGACACCAUGAUGAUUCGAUUUCCGUUCCUGGUGGUUCUUGUGUUGGUCAUUUCUACUGUCAGGUACAGAAUGGCCAAAGCAGAAUCGAAUGAUGUGUAUACCCUGGAGUCUGUGAGGGAGGAUCUGGUUAAGCAAGAAGAUACCAUUGUUUUUGGUCUCAUUGACAGGGCUAGGUUCCCCAUGAAUUAUCACACCUAUGAUGAAAACUACUGGAAAAUCCCGGGUUUUUGUGGCUCAUUGGUCGAAUGUGUUGUUCAAAACACUGAGGCCAUUCAAGCUAUGGUGACUAACUGCUACUUUUACCUUGUCUCUUCUUAGCUUCUCUAUUUUCAUAGCUUGUUUUGAUUUGUGUUGCCAAGUCAUGCCAUUUUAAUUGUGUGGUGUUUGCUUGGUCAUGGUGGUUUUGAUUGCGGUUGCGCGGUGUUCAAAAGCACACAUUGACUAGAGAUAUGACUAAGUAAUUCAGUAGAGCGAUCCUCACCCCUGAACUAGCUUUUGGGGUAGGGUUAUGCCUAAUUCGAAUUCCAAGACGUCAUUAGAACCUAUCUAGAUUGGCUUAUUGGGCCGCCCAUAAAUGGAUUACUCGCAAAUGUCAAGAAUCCUACAAAUUUCAUGCUCUAGAUGGGGCAUUAUGUGUGAUCGUAAUUGCUGUCAUGAGCAGUUGCAGGAACUCGAAAAAACUUAAUAUUGCAGCUGCAAUUGCGAUUGCGUACUGCAACUUAAAACCAUGUCUGCUACUUCAAUGUGAGGGGCAGCACAUCUGUCUUAUUUUAAAUGAAUUUGGCUGAUUGUUAAGAUUAAAGGUCUAAAAUCGAUAUAAAAAGGGUGGAUGUUAUCAGAUAUGCUGAUUGGUAAUUUAUCUAACAAUCUAGCUUCAUAAAUUUGGGAGUUAUGUUACAUGUUGGGAAGAUUGGAUUUUUUUUUUAAGGAAAGUUUGAGGUGGGGAAAAAGUUGAUAUUCUAAUCCCAUUGCAAAAAUCAUAAUUUGUUCUGACUCUUGGCCUCUUGGGUGUUGAAAAUGAGGGGUAACUUUUAUAAGGUAAAACACAUAUAUUAAUGAGAUGGAACUUUUGCAAGGUUUAGUUCAUAAUUUUCUGCUUCUGUUAUUACUUACUGAUCAAGUUUCUUCACCUGGGGAUAAAUGCCUUCAUGCAAUCAAAAGUGUAUUAUAUCUCUGCUAUUCACAAUGAGUGGUUCUUAUCUGCUACCUAUCGAGUUAUUAGAUUUGAGAAAAUGUUAAACAAAAAUAAUAUGGUAUAUUACAGGCUGGAAGGUACCAAAACCCUGAAGAAAAUGCCUUCUUCCCAGAACAUUUACCAUCACCAAUUGUGCCAUCUUACCCCUUCACACAGGUAACUGACCGAAACUCAAUUACGGUUUUCCAAUUUCCAUAGUUCAAAUGAACUUAGAACAAAGAGUGAUUAGUUCUGAAGUUGAUUCUUCUUUAGAUUUUGCAUCCUGGAGCUGCUUCCAUUAACAUAAACAAGUCGAUUUGGAAAAAUUACUUUGAUGAGUUGCUUCCAAUAUUGGUUGCGUCCGGUGAUGAUGGCAACUAUGCACAAACUGCAGCUAGCGAUCUUUCAUUAUUGCAGGUAAUGUUGUCUCUGAUGAUGACUUUAGGUAGACAAAUGUUUAAAACCAACAACCAGUUUAAUUUUUGUCAAUAUAUUUUGGUGCAACUCAUGGGAUAAUUUUCAAGAGUGGCCUAGAUGCUCUACACUAGUUUUGAUUCUGAUUUCUGACAGUUCAUUCUGUAAAAUAUCUGCAGGCAAUCUCUAGAAGGAUUCAUUAUGGAAAGUUUGUAGCUGAGGCGAAAUUCAGGGAAUCUCCUCAAGACUAUGAGCCUUUAAUUCGUGCUAAGGUAAAUAUUUGUGCAGAUUGCUGAGUGUUAGCAAAUUUAGCUCCAUAGUAAACAUAUAUAUUUUUAAUAUGACACAAUUCAUUUGGGAUACAUUAUCAUCAAGAUGAUAUAACAUAAUUUAAUGGUUAGGUUACUGCUUCUCGCCUUCUAAAAAAAGUUGUUAAGCGGUGUAUGUUUUUAUUGAGAAGUUUCGCAUUGACUAGAGAUAGAGAUAUGGUCAAAUAAGACUUUAUAAAGGAUAGAUAAAUCCUCACCUUUGAGCUAGCUUUUGGGGUAAAUUAAGGCAUAGUCCGAAGUCUAAGAUGGUAUAAAAGUCUUUCAUAGAUCCAUUUACUUGGACGAAUCAUAAAUGGGUCACUUGCAGAUGUCCAAUCCUGUAAACUUAACUCCAGAUGUCUAGCACCACAUUGACUAUAAAGGUUAGAGAAAUCCUCACAUUUGGUCUAGCUUUUCGGGUAGAGUUAGACUGGAUCUAAGUUAUUUUCCAAACUUAUACCUGAUGUCCAAUCUUAAACGUUUUUAGUCAAGUGGGGUUCACAGUUAUAAUGGUACCCUAUUGGUUUUUGCAGGACACAGAAGGGUUGAUGAAAUUAUUGACAUUUGAGAGUGUUCAAGAGAUGGUGAUAAAGAGAGUUGAAAAGAAGGCCAUGGUGUUUGGGCAGGAGGUAGGCCUAAACAGUGAUGAUGAAAAGGAAGUAAAACGCAAGUUUGAUCCAUCAGUGGCUUCUAGCUUGUAUCAGAAAUGGAUUAUACCUCUCACCAAGGAGGUUGAGGUUGAGUACCUCUUGCGCCGUCUAGAUUGAGACUGUCUCAAUGCAAUU
RNAcentral lists this long non-coding RNA (4171 nucleotides) under Lotus japonicus. RNAcentral's name for it is "long non-coding RNA (LJAP_LNC001980)". Lineage: Eukaryota; Viridiplantae; Streptophyta; Magnoliopsida; Fabales; Fabaceae. The record is from RNAcentral.